RNAcentral lists this transfer RNA (87 nucleotides) under Candidatus Blackburnbacteria bacterium. RNAcentral describes it as "tRNA-Ser". It matches the Rfam family "tRNA". From Rfam's summary of the family: Transfer RNA (tRNA) molecules are approximately 80 nucleotides in length. Their secondary structure includes four short double-helical elements and three loops (D, anti-codon, and T loops). Further hydrogen bonds mediate the characteristic L-shaped molecular structure. tRNAs have two regions of fundamental functional importance: the anti-codon, which is responsible for specific mRNA codon recognition, and the 3' end, to which the tRNAs corresponding amino acid is attached (by aminoacyl-tRNA synthetases). tRNAs cope with the degeneracy of the genetic code in two manners: having more than one tRNA (with a specific anti-codon) for a particular amino acid; and 'wobble' base-pairing, i.e. permitting non-standard base-pairing at the 3rd anti-codon position. The record is from RNAcentral. Lineage: Bacteria; Candidatus Blackburniibacteriota.
GGUGAGGUUCAGGAGUGGUUUAACUGGCAGACCUGGAAAGUCUGUGUAGUCGCAAGGCUACCGUGGGUUCGAAUCCCACCCUCACCG